RNAcentral lists this long non-coding RNA (1512 nucleotides) under Salvia miltiorrhiza (redroot sage). RNAcentral's name for it is "long non-coding RNA (SMIL_LNC005324)". The record is from RNAcentral. Lineage: Eukaryota; Viridiplantae; Streptophyta; Magnoliopsida; Lamiales; Lamiaceae.
GAACAUGAAAUAAAUAUUAUAUAAAUGUCAGUGAAAACACCUAAAUUGAUUUAUGUCUAUAUUAAUAAGAAAUCUAAAUUCAAAUAUCAAAUAUCUAUAUUCAUCUAGCUACGGGAAAAAUGCACAUACAUCAUCUAAGUGACAAUGUCACAUUAAAUGUCUUCUCAUCUUUCUCUUGCUCUUCCUUAUUUCAAUUUUCCUCGUUCCUGCAUAAUUUAAAAAAGGGUUAAUUAUCAAAUUGCCCCCUAUCGAUUGCGUCCCUAUGUCUUUUAACCCCCUAAAGUCAAAGGAAAGAGCUGCCCACUACCUCAACGUGACUUUUUUGCACCAAUUUCCCCUCUAUCGAUAAGGGUCCCCCUCGCCUGAGCUGCCUACUACCUCAACGUGACUUUUUAGCACCAAUUUCCCCCCAAUCGAUAGGGGUCCCCCUCGUGUUUAGCCCCCUAAAGUCAUGGGGGAGAGCUGCCUCAAUCGAAAAGCUGGAGGGAAAUUGGUGCCAAAAAGCCACGUUAAGGUAGUGGGCAGCUCUCCCCUCUGACUUUAGAGGGCUAAAGGCCAUAGGGACGCCAUCGAUAAGGGGCAAUCUGAUACUUAACCCUUUAAAAAAAUAAAUUAUAUUUUACAAAUAUGGAUAGAGAAUUAAUUGAAAAUAUUGUUAUCAACUCGAUUAUUCAUCUUUUUCCAUCUAUAAAAGUGGCCAAAGAUAUAUAUUACAGAAAUGUUAAAUCAUAAAAUAAUUGAAAUAUAUACUAUUAAGAAUUUGAUCACUUAGCGCAAACUUCUAUUGCUUCACUCCAUUGUUUCAAAUAUAGAUUUUCGUUUCCCCAUAAAACAAAACAGAUGGAGUGAUACAUAUGCUAAUCAUAAUAUGAUAACCUGUAGCACGCAAGAAAAUAGAGCUCAUAGAUGUGCAACAAAUAUUGUAAGUAGACCAAUAUAGUAAAAUAUUAGCAAUAAGAUUUUAUCAUAUUUCAAUAUUCAACUAAAAAUGCACAAUUAAAGAAAUCUAGCUUCGCUAUGUACAAGCAACCCACCUCUUAAUAAUGACAUUACAUGCAUAACAACCAAUCUCUUACGCACUCUCCUGUCAUCUUUUUAAGAACCAACUNCAAACCGAAUAAAUGAAAAUUAUUUGAAAGCAAAAAACCAAGGAAAAUAAACUCAAAAUUAAAUAAAAACAUAAAUAUUAAAAAUCAUAAUAAAUCAGCACAUUAACAGAAAAAGCCUAAUUUAUUUUCACUUAAUACAUAUCAUUGUCGAGACAAAUUCUGACCAACGCCAUUUGAAAAAUCUGGAUCCCAGCAUAGCACAUUCGAAUCUAUGGAAUACUCUCAAUUAAUCACCAGGGUUACGAAAAAGAAACCUGAGUUCUUUUUAGUUCGAGACUGCAAGGAAAAAAAUUAAUUACCGUGGAGUGGUCGAAAACAAAGAUGAAGAGCAUAUUGAAGAUAAUCAAAUCUCUAGGGCUAAUCACCUUAAGCGGCGUACAAAGGAAUUGGGACUAGAGUGAAG